Molecule: ribosomal RNA, 253 nt
Filed under: uncultured bacterium
Lineage: Bacteria
Description: partial 16S ribosomal RNA
Rfam family: Bacterial small subunit ribosomal RNA
Source: RNAcentral
UACGUAGGCAGCGAGCGUUGUUCGGAAUUACUGGGCGUAAAGGGCGCGUAGGCGGCCUGCUAAGUCGAACGUGAAAUCCCCGGGCUCAACCCGGGAACUGCGUCCGAUACUGACAGGCUUGAAUCCGGGAGAGGGAUGCGGAAUUCCAGGUGUAGCGGUGAAAUGCGUAGAUAUCUGGAGGAACACCGGUGGCGAAGGCGGCAUCCUGGACCGGCAUUGACGCUGAGGCGCGAAAGCCAGGGGAGCAAACGGG